AACGAACGCUGGCGGCAUGCCUAACACAUGCAAGUCGAACGAGACCUUCGGGUCUAGUGGCGCACGGGUGCGUAACGCGUGGGAACCUGCCCUUAGGUUCGGAAUAACUCCCCGAAAGGGGCGCUAAUACCGGAUAAUGUCUUCGGACCAAAGAUUUAUCGCCUUUGGAUGGGCCCGCGUUGGAUUAGCUAGUUGGUAGGGUAAAAGCCUACCAAGGCGACGAUCCAUAGCUGGUCUGAGAGGAUGAUCAGCCACACUGGGACUGGGACACGGCCCAGACUCCUGCGGGAGGCAGCAGUGGGGAAUAUUGGACAAUGGGCGAAAGCCUGAUCCAGCAAUGCCGCGCGAGUGAUGAAGGCCUUAGAGUUGUAAAGCUCUUUUACCCGGGAUGAUAAUGACAGUACCGGGAGAAUAAGCUCCGGCUAACUCCGUG
Molecule: ribosomal RNA, 433 nt
Filed under: uncultured bacterium
Lineage: Bacteria
Description: partial 16S ribosomal RNA
Rfam family: Bacterial small subunit ribosomal RNA
Source: RNAcentral